Molecule: ribosomal RNA, 521 nt
Filed under: uncultured bacterium
Lineage: Bacteria
Description: bacterial SSU rRNA
Rfam family: Bacterial small subunit ribosomal RNA
Source: RNAcentral
AAUAGAUACCCGGGUAGUCCACGCCGUAAACGAUGAGUGCUAAGUGUUAGAGGGUUUCCGCCCUUUAGUGCUGAAGUUAGCGCAUUAAGCACUCCGCCUGGGGAGUACGGCCGCAAGGCUGAAACUCAAAGGAAUUGACGGGGGCCCGCACAAGCGGUGGAGCAUGUGGUUUAAUUCGAAGCAACGCGAAGAACCUUACCAGGUCUUGACAUCCUCUGACAACCCUAGAGAUAGGGCUUCUCCUUCGGGAGCAGAGUGACAGGUGGUGCAUGGUUGUCGUCAGCUCGUGUCGUGAGAUGUUGGGUUAAGUCCCGCAACGAGCGCAACCCUUGAUCUUAGUUGCCAUCAUUAAGUUGGGCACUCUAAGGUGACUGCCGGUGACAAACCGGAGGAAGGUGGGGAUGACGUCAAAUCAUCAUGCCCCUUAUGACCUGGGCUACACACGUGCUACAAUGGACGGUACAAAGAGCUGCAAGACCGCGAGGUGGAGCUAAUCUCAUAAAACCGGUUCUCAGUUCGGA